GGAUGUGAGGGCGACCUGGCUGCGACAUCUGUCGCCCCGUUGCUCGCCAGGGCGGACUCGGCCGAUCUGGCUGGCGAGGGUACGUGAGUGGCUGCGCCCCCCGCUGGCACCUCCAAGCAAGCUCUCCAGGGCCAAUAGUAACUACCUUUGAGUAAUGGCUACUGAAUAUUUAAAUUUUCUUUUUACUUCUGGAUUUUCUGAGUUUUAUGUUUAAUAAAAAUAUAAAACUGGUAGGAUUGAAAUUUUUUUUAAUUCAGGAAAAGAAGAGUAGUU
RNAcentral lists this small nuclear RNA (273 nucleotides) under Dasypus novemcinctus (nine-banded armadillo). Its description in RNAcentral is "7SK RNA (ENSDNOG00000029599.1)". It matches the Rfam family "7SK RNA". Rfam says of the family: 7SK was discovered as an abundant small nuclear RNA in the mid-70s but a possible function has only recently been suggested. Two independent studies have found that 7SK RNA binds the CDK9/cyclin T complex (known as elongation factor P-TEFb). Lineage: Eukaryota; Metazoa; Chordata; Mammalia; Cingulata; Dasypodidae. The record is from RNAcentral.